ACCAAAGAGGGGGAUCUUCGGACCUCUCGCGCUAAGAUUAGCCCAGGUGAGAUUAGCUAGUUGGUGAGGUAAGAGCUCACCAAGGCGACGAUCUCUAGCUGGUCUGAGAGGAUGAUCAGCCACACUGGAACUGAGACACGGUCCAGACUCCUACGGGAGGCAGCAGUGGGGAAUAUUGCACAAUGGGCGAAAGCCUGAUGCAGCCAUGCCGCGUGUAUGAAGAAGGCCUUCGGGUUGUAAAGUACUUUCAGUAGGGAGGAAGGUGUUGUCGUUAAUAGCGGCAGCAUUUGACGUUACCUACAGAAGAAGCACCGGCUAACUCCGUGCCAGCAGCCGCGGUAAUACGGAGGGUGCGAGCGUUAAUCGGAAUUACUGGGCGUAAAGCGCAUGCAGGUGGUUUGUUAAGUCAGAUGUGAAAGC
This 420-nucleotide ribosomal RNA is filed under the name uncultured Vibrio sp. RNAcentral's name for it is "bacterial SSU rRNA". It matches the Rfam family "Bacterial small subunit ribosomal RNA", at positions 200 to 601 of the family's 1533-position model. The record is from RNAcentral. Lineage: Bacteria; Pseudomonadati; Pseudomonadota; Gammaproteobacteria; Vibrionales; Vibrionaceae.